RNAcentral lists this ribosomal RNA (205 nucleotides) under uncultured bacterium. RNAcentral's name for it is "partial 16S ribosomal RNA". It matches the Rfam family "Bacterial small subunit ribosomal RNA", at positions 328 to 538 of the family's 1533-position model. The record is from RNAcentral.
ACGCUCGACACCUACGGGGAGGCAGCAGUCGGGAAUAUUGCGCAAUGGAGGAAACUCUGACGCAGUGACGCCGCGUGCAGGAAGAAGGUUUUCGGAUUGUAAACUGCUUUAGACAGGGAAGAAAGAAAUGACAGUACCUGUAGAAUAAGCUCCGGCUAACUACGUGCCACAGCCGCGGUAAUCUGAGGCGGGCGUGGACGAAGGC